ACGGGAGGCAGCAGUGGGGAAUAUUGCACAAUGGGGGAAACCCUGAUGCAGCAACGCCGCGUGAAGGAAGACGGUCUUCGGAUUGUAAACUUUUGUUCUUAGUGAAGAUAAUGACGGUAGCUAAGGAGAAAGCCACGGCUAACUACGUGCCAGCAGCCGCGGUAAUACGUAGGUGGCAAGCGUUGUCCGGAAUUACUGGGUGUAAAGGGAGCGCAGGCGGGAAUGCAAGUUGGAUGUGAAAUGUCGGGGCUUAACCCCGGAGCUGCAUCUGAAACUGUAGUUCUUGAGUGAAGUAGAGGCAGGCGGAAUUCCUAGUGUAGCGGUGAAAUGCGUAGAUAUUAGGAGGAACACCAGUGGCGAAGGCGGCUUACUGGGCUUUAACUGACGCUGAGGCUCGAAAGUGUGGGUAGCAAACAGGAUUAGAUACCCUGGUA
This 434-nucleotide ribosomal RNA is filed under the name uncultured Oscillospiraceae bacterium. RNAcentral's name for it is "bacterial SSU rRNA". It matches the Rfam family "Bacterial small subunit ribosomal RNA", at positions 341 to 792 of the family's 1533-position model. The record is from RNAcentral. Lineage: Bacteria; Bacillati; Bacillota; Clostridia; Eubacteriales; Oscillospiraceae.